CCCUAACUGACUGAAUAACUUAAAAACUUAUUCUUGGAUUAAAAUAAAUAAAAUUCCAAAUAAAAUACAGUAACAAACAAGAGCAUAGCUUUAUUUUUAUUUUUUUUGUACGGCAAGAGCAUUGCUUUAUAACCUUAUUACAAACAACUAAACAAGCCUUGACAUAUAUUUUCACCAAAAAAAACAAGCCUUACCAUAUAUAAUUAAAAAAAAAAAGAAAAAAAUGCAAAGGAAUUUCUCGUAUCUUCCGCCAUUAUUUCUCCAAAAAGAACAAAACAACCCACCAAAUCCUCCAAAUAUAUCUUCAAUUUCAACAAUUAAAAAAAAAAAAGAAAAAAUCACUUAUCAUGAUUAUCUUCAUGAUAAUUUUGGCAGAAUUUCGUUUCAAAAUCGGGAAACUUGCGAAACUAAACUAGCCCCAAAAAACUGAGAGGGAAUUACUUUGAUUUCAUCUGUUAUUCCCUCCCCGAUUUUGUGAAAUACUCCGUAUGUGGUGAUUUAUCCCUUGUCUAUCUUUCUUUAUCAAAUUUUCCUCCCGUAAUUUUACCCUAAGCAAUUUCAAAAAACAAUCUUACUGAACUCUAGACGAGCGAAGGGAGACGAAUUAAAAUAGCGUUUGGAGUUUGUGGCCGAUCGAAUUUGGAGUUUGAUUGGUCAGAGUACAUAUCACUAUCCAAGUGCUGAUAUGUCUAGAUCGGGUGGAAAAGCACAUUCAAAGUAUGAUUACAUAAGCCAAAAUGAGUAUGAACAACAAAGUCUCAAGACAAUUGAAACUAACAAGAUUAGAAUGAAGACAUUGGGCAUAAAGCGCAUUACUGCCUGUUUGACAAGCUUAGUAAGUAGUUCUAAAGUUAAGAAAAGUAAGCAGAAGUACAAUGUUUCCCUUGAGAAAGAUGGUGAUUAUGUACCCGAGGAAAAUGAGGAAGUUGAGUUCGAGCAAGAAACUCACAAUGUGACUUCAAAUAAAAAGAGAUUAUACAAUGAAGAUGGCUAGAGAUCGUAUUGGAAGAAAUUGAAGAAAAUAAUGUCUUUUUUUCAAGCUUAGAGUUUUAAUGAAAACUCUUUAUUAUUUCACUUUAUAUCAAAUGAUUAUAACAAGUCAUGUAAUUGUAUUGAAGCUAGCUAAGUUAUUUAGUAAUAACUUAAUUACAUUUUUUAGAUCAAUAAUGUAAUGACUAUUCUAUUAUAAAUAA
Molecule: long non-coding RNA, 1193 nt
Organism: Chenopodium quinoa (quinoa)
Lineage: Eukaryota; Viridiplantae; Streptophyta; Magnoliopsida; Caryophyllales; Amaranthaceae
Exons: 3
Source: RefSeq, a predicted model, not a curated record